UAAGGGCUCACCAAGGCGACGAUCCCUAGCUGGUCUGAGAGGAUGAUCAGCCACACUGGAACUGAGACACGGUCCAGACUCCUACGGGAGGCAGCAGUGGGGAAUAUUGCACAAUGGGCGCAAGCCUGAUGCAGCCAUGCCGCGUGUAUGAAGAAGGCCUUCGGGUUGUAAAGUACUUUCAGCAGUGAGGAAGGUGNUUGAUGUUAAUAGCAUCAUAUUUGACGUUAGCUGCAGAAGAAGCACCGGCUAACUCCGUGCCAGCAGCCGCGGUAAUACGGAGGGUGCGAGCGUUAAUCGGAAUUACUGGGCGUAAAGCGCAUGCAGGUGGUUUGUUAAGUCAGAUGUGAAAGCCCGGGGCUCAACCUCGGAAUUGCAUUUGAAACUGGCAGACUAGAGUACUGUAGAGGGGGGUAGAAUUUCAGGUGU
RNAcentral lists this ribosomal RNA (426 nucleotides) under Vibrio sinaloensis. RNAcentral describes it as "bacterial SSU rRNA". It matches the Rfam family "Bacterial small subunit ribosomal RNA", at positions 258 to 676 of the family's 1533-position model. The record is from RNAcentral. Lineage: Bacteria; Pseudomonadati; Pseudomonadota; Gammaproteobacteria; Vibrionales; Vibrionaceae.